This 28-nucleotide non-coding RNA is filed under the name Rattus norvegicus (Norway rat). The record is from RNAcentral. Lineage: Eukaryota; Metazoa; Chordata; Mammalia; Rodentia; Muridae.
UGGCAGGACUUAUACUUUCAAUGGUGCU